CAAAGGGCCAGCGCAUGCCUUUUAUGGGUUGUCGCCAGCCAUAAUGUGCAGGUCGGACAUGAGGCAAGAAUAGCUUGGCCCACCAACCACAU
Long non-coding RNA from Ixodes scapularis (black-legged tick), 92 nucleotides. RefSeq lists it as uncharacterized. Lineage: Eukaryota; Metazoa; Arthropoda; Arachnida; Ixodida; Ixodidae. The record is from RefSeq and is a predicted model, not a curated record. The transcript has 2 exons.